RNAcentral lists this non-coding RNA (662 nucleotides) under Branchinella thailandensis. RNAcentral's name for it is "partial small subunit ribosomal RNA". The stretch from base 281 to 657 matches the Rfam family "Microsporidia small subunit ribosomal RNA", at positions 752 to 1303 of the family's 1311-position model. Lineage: Eukaryota; Metazoa; Arthropoda; Branchiopoda; Anostraca; Thamnocephalidae. The record is from RNAcentral.
CUUUAUUUUAUUUUAUAUGUGUGAGUGCAGUAAUUGAUAUUAAUAAUUAAUUAUUUAGAUUUAGCUAUAAAAGAUAUAAGAGGUAAACCCUGUGCCAGCAUCCGCGGUCAUACCGGGUCUUGGAGUAACUUUUUUAAGAAAAUUUCUUUUUCUUUUUUAAUAAUGAUUACUUUUAUAAAAGUGAAAUUUGAAUUUUUUUGUGAAGAUUUAAGUGAGAGAAGAUUGGAGUAUUUAAAAAACUGGGAUUAGAUACCCCACUAUUUUAUUUUUUUCUUUUCUUGGGUAGUAAACUUUAAACCUAAAGAAUUUGGCGGUUCUUAAACUUACUAGAGGAACCUGUCCUGUAAUCGAUAGUCCACGAAGAUAUGUACCUGUUCUUGUUUCAGCUUAUAUACCGCCGUUUAGUGAACUAAAUUAAUAGUUUCUCUUAAUUAAUUAGUUAAGUAAAUCAGGUCAAGGUGUAGUUUAUGAACAGGUAGAGAUGGGUUACAAUAAAAGUUUAAACGGAAUAAAUUAUUUUAUUUUAGUUUUGAAGGCGGAUUUAGAAGUAAAUAUUAAAUAUUUGAAGGAAGCUCUUGAGAAUGUACACAUCGCCCGUCGCUCUCUUGUCUGAAGAGAUAAGUCGUAACAAAGUAGAUAAACCGGAAGGUUUAUCUUGAAAG